This 457-nucleotide ribosomal RNA is filed under the name Asteloeca lutea. RNAcentral's name for it is "partial large subunit ribosomal RNA". The stretch from base 332 to 457 matches the Rfam family "Bacterial large subunit ribosomal RNA", at positions 2473 to 2599 of the family's 2925-position model. Lineage: Eukaryota; Metazoa; Arthropoda; Insecta; Hymenoptera; Vespidae. The record is from RNAcentral.
AGUCAUUCUGCCCAUUGAAUUUAAAAGGCUGCGGUAUUUUAACUGUACAAAGGUAGCAAAAUAAAUAGUUUUUUAAUUGAAAACUUGAAUGAAAGAGUUAAUAAAAUAUAAAUUGUCUCAAAAAAUGAAUUUAAAUUAAAAGUAAAAAUACUUUUAUAAUUUUAUUAGACGAUAAGACCCUAAGAAUUUGAUUAUUUAAAUUAUUUUAAUAAAUAAAUAAAAAUUAAAUUAUUUUAUUGGGAGGAUAAAUAAAUUAAACUUUAAUUUUAUUAAAUAUUUUUAGAUAAAUUUAAUGAUUAUUAUUAAGAUUAUAAGAAUAAAUUACCUUAGGGAUAACAGCGUAAUAAUUUUGGAGAGUUCAUAUUGAUAGAAUUGUUUACGACCUCGAUGUUGAAUUAAAAUAAAAAUUAAAUGGAGAUAUUUAAAAUUUUAGUCUGUUCGACUAUUAAAAUUUUAC